GUAGGUGAACCUGCGGAAGGAUCAUUAAUAGAGCAAUGGAUAGACAGCGCCUCGGGAGAAAUCCUGGGGGCCACCCGACUUCGGUCGGGUUUAGAGUCGUCAGGCCUCUCGGAGAAGCCUGGUCCAGACCUCCACCCUUGAAUAAAUUACCUUUGUUGCUUUGGCAGGGCGCCUCGCGCCAGCGGCUUCGGCUGUUGAGUACCUGCCAGAGGACCACAACUCUUGUUUUUAGUGAUGUCUGAGUACUAUAUAAUAGUUAAAACUUUCAACAACGGAUCUCUUGGUUCUG
RNAcentral lists this unclassified non-coding RNA (289 nucleotides) under rhizosphere metagenome. RNAcentral describes it as "partial ribosomal RNA internal transcribed spacer region". The record is from RNAcentral.